This 460-nucleotide ribosomal RNA is filed under the name uncultured bacterium. Its description in RNAcentral is "partial 16S ribosomal RNA". It matches the Rfam family "Bacterial small subunit ribosomal RNA", at positions 338 to 795 of the family's 1533-position model. The record is from RNAcentral.
CCUACGGGAGGCUGCAGUGAGGAAUAUUGGUCAAUGGCCGGAAGGCUGAACCAGCCAUGCCGCGUGAAGGUCAGUGCCCUAUGGGCGUUAAACUUCUUUUGUGCGGGAGCAAUAAUGGUCACGUGUGGCCAGACGAGAGUACCGUACGAAUACGCAUCAGCUAACUCCGUGCCAGCAGCCGCGGUAAUACUGGGGAUGCAAGCGUUAUCCGGAUUUGUUGGGUUUAAAGGGUGCGUAGGCUGUGAGGUAAUGCAACGGUGAAAUGCCCCCGCUCAACGGGGUGAAGUGCCAUUGAUACUGGCUUGCUUGAAUGCGGAUGAGGUGGGAGGAAUGUGUGGUGUAGCGGUGAAAUGCAUAGAUAUCACACAGAACACCGAUUGCGAAGGCAUCUCACGAAUCCGCGAUUGACGCUGAUGCACGAAAGCGUGGGUAUCAAACAGGAUUAGAUACCCGGGUAGUC